Molecule: ribosomal RNA, 672 nt
Filed under: uncultured bacterium
Lineage: Bacteria
Description: bacterial SSU rRNA
Rfam family: Bacterial small subunit ribosomal RNA
Source: RNAcentral
CCCUAAACGAUGUCAACUGGUUGUUGGGUCCUUSCUGACUCAGUAACGAAGMUWAACGCGUGAAGUUGACYGCCUGGGGAGUACGGCCSCAAGGUUGAAACUCAAAWGGAAUUGACGGGGACCCGCACAAGCGGUGGAUYAUGUGGUUUAAUUCGAUGCAACGCGAAAAACCUUACCCACCUUUGACAUGUACGGAAGUUGCCAGAGAUGGCUUCGUGCUCGAAAGAGAGCCGUAACACAGGUGCUGCAUGGCUGUCGUCAGCUCGUGUCGUGAGAUGUUGGGUUAAGUCCCGCAACGAGCGCAACCCUUGCCAUUAGUUGCUACGAAAGGGCACUCUAAUGGGACUGCCGGUGACAAACCGGAGGAAGGUGGGGAUGACGUCAAGUCCUCAUGGCCCUUAUAGGUGGGGCUACACACGUCAUACAAUGGCCGGUACAAAGGGCAGCCAACCCGCGAGGGGGAGCCAAUCCCAUAAAGCCGGUCGUAGUCYGGAUCGCAGUCUGCAACUCGACUGCGUGAAGUCGGAAUCGCUAGUAAUCGUGGAUCAGCAUGUCACGGUGAAUACGUUCCCGGGUCUUGUACACACCGCCCGUCACACCYUGGGAGCGGGUCUCGCCAGAAGUAGGUAGCCUAACCGCAAGGAGGGCGCUUACCACGGCGGGGUUCGUGAC